GAUGAAGAACGUAGCGAAAUGCGAUAAGUAAUGUGAAUUGCAGAAUUUAGUGAAUCAUCGAAUCUUUGAACGCACAUUGCGCCCAUUAGCAUUCUAGUGGGCAUGCCUGUCCGAGCGUCAUUUCAACCCUCAAGCCCCCGGGCUUGGUGUUGGGGAUCGGCGAGCCUCCGCGCCCGCCGUCCCCUAAAUCUAGUGGCGGUCUCGCUGUAGCUUCCUCUGCGUAGUAGCACACCUCGCACUGGGAAACAGCGCGGCCACGCCGUUAAACCCCCAACUUCUGAACGUUUGACCUCGGAUCAGGUAGGAAUACCCGCUGAACUUAAGCAUAUCAAUAAGCGGAGGA
RNAcentral lists this unclassified non-coding RNA (343 nucleotides) under soil metagenome. RNAcentral describes it as "partial contains 5.8S ribosomal RNA, internal transcribed spacer 2, and large subunit ribosomal RNA". The stretch from base 1 to 120 matches the Rfam family "5.8S ribosomal RNA", at positions 35 to 154 of the family's 154-position model. The record is from RNAcentral.